RNAcentral lists this ribosomal RNA (458 nucleotides) under Acrocampsa integra. RNAcentral's name for it is "partial large subunit ribosomal RNA". Lineage: Eukaryota; Metazoa; Arthropoda; Insecta; Hemiptera; Cicadellidae. The record is from RNAcentral.
UAGUUAUUAAUUGAAGGUAAAUUCUGCCCUAUGAUUAAGUUUAAAUGGCUGCAGUAUAUUGACUGUGCAAAGGUAGCAUAAUAAUUAGUCUUUUAAUUGAAGGCUUGUAUGAAUGAAUUCAUGAGAGGUUUAUUUUAUUAUUUUUAUAGUUAAAAUUUAAUUUUUGAGUAAAAAAGCUUAAUUGUUUUUUUGGGACGAUAAGACCCUAUAGAAUUUAAUUAAUUUUUGAUUAAUUGCUUUUUGUUUAGUGUUAUUCAAUUUUUUAUUUAUUAAUUUUGUUGGGGUGACGAAUAAAUUUGACUUUAUUUUUGGAAAUCAUUAAUUUAUGUUUUUUUGAUCCAUUAUUUGAUUAAAAGAUUAAAUUACCUUAGGGAUAACAGCGUAAUUUUUAUGGGGAGUUCAUAUUUAUAUAAAAGUUUGCGACCUCGAUGUUGAAUUAAGAUAAAAUUUUGGAGCAG